This 253-nucleotide ribosomal RNA is filed under the name uncultured bacterium. Its description in RNAcentral is "partial 16S ribosomal RNA". It matches the Rfam family "Bacterial small subunit ribosomal RNA", at positions 524 to 776 of the family's 1533-position model. The record is from RNAcentral.
UACGUAGGGUGCAAGCGUUAAUCGGAAUUACUGGGCGUAAAGCGUGCGCAGGCGGCUUUGCAAGACAGAUGUGAAAUCCCCGGGCUUAACCUGGGAACUGCGUUUGUGACUGCAAGACUCGAGUACGGCAGAGGGGGGUGGAAUUCCACGUGUAGCAGUGAAAUGCGUAGAGAUGUGGAGGAACACCGAUGGCGAAGGCAGCCCCCUGGGUCGAUACUGACGCUCAUGCACGAAAGCGUGGGGAGCAAACAGG